Long non-coding RNA from Eriocheir sinensis (Chinese mitten crab), 1747 nucleotides. RefSeq lists it as uncharacterized. The transcript has 7 exons. The record is from RefSeq and is a predicted model, not a curated record. NCBI's taxonomy places the organism in Eukaryota, Metazoa, Arthropoda, Malacostraca, Decapoda, Varunidae.
GACCGUGUCUAGGAACAUAUAUAUAGGUCUAACACAUUUGAUAAGGCUUUCUGGGACAUUCUAGGCCUUUCCAGGGGUAGUUUUAUGACCCUGGUGGUAGUUCGACAAGGCUUUGGUGGAGGUUGUUGUGUUAGUAUGUCCAUGGGUAGUGUUAUGAGCCUGGUGAUAGUUUGACAAGGCUUUGGUGGAGGUUGUUGUGUUAGUAUUGCCAUGGGUAGUGUUAUGAGCCUGGUGAUAGUUUGACAAGGCUUUGGUGGAGGUUGUUGUGUUAGUAUGUCCAUGGGUAGUGUUAUGAGCCUGGUGAUAGUUUGACAAGGCUUUGGUGGAGGUUGUUGUGUUAGUAUGUCCAUGGGUAGUGUUAUGAGCCUGGUGAUAGUUCGACAAGGCUUUGGUAGAGGUUGUGUUAGUAUUGCCAUGGGUAGUGUUAUGAACCUGGUGGUAGUUUGACAAGGCUUUGGUGGAGGUUGUGUUAGUAUGUCCCUGGGUAGCGUUAUGAGCCUGGUGAUAGUUUGACAAGGCUUUGGUGGAGGUUGUUGUGUUAGUAUGUCCAUGGGUAGUGUUAUGAGCCUGGUGAUAGUUUGACAAGGCUUUGGUGGAGGUUGUUGUGUUAGUAUGUCCAUGGGUAGUGUUAUGAGCCUGGUGAUAGUUUGACAAGGCUUUGGUGGAGGUUGUUGUGUUAGUAUUUCCAUGGGUAGUGUUAUGAGCCUGGUGAUAGUUUGACAAGGCUUUGGUGGAGGUUGUUGUGUUAGUAUGUCCAUGGGUAGUGUUAUGAGCCUGGUGAUAGUUUGACAAGGCUUUGGUAGAGGUUGUUGUGUUAGUAUGUCCAUGGGUAGUGUUAUGAGCCUGGUGAUAGUUUGACAAGGCUUUGGUGGAGGUUGUUGUGUUAGUAUUUCCAUGGGUAGUGUUAUGAGCCUGGUGAUAGUUUGACAAGGCUUUGGUGGAGGUUGUUGUGUUAGUAUGUCCAUGGGUAGUGUUAUGAGCCUGGUGAUAGUUUGACAAGGCUUUGGUGGAGGUUGUUGUGUUAGUAUUUCCAUGGGUAGUGUUAUGAGCCUGGUGAUAGUUUGACAAGGCUUUGGUGGAGGUUGUUGUGUUAGUAUGUCCAUGGGUAGUGUUAUGAGCCUGGUGAUAGUUUGACAAGGCUUUGGUGGAGGUUGUGUUAGUAUGUCCAUGGGUAGUGUUAUGAGCCUGGUGAUAGUUUGACAAGGCUUUGGUAGAGGUUGUGUUAGUAUGUCCAUGGGUAGUGUUAUGAGCCUGGUGAUAGUUUGACAAGGCUUUGGUGGAGGUUGUUGUGUUAGUGUGUCCAUGGGUAGUGUUAUGAGCCUGGUGAUAGUUUGACAAGGCUUUGGUAGAGGUUGUGUUAGUAUGUCCAUGGAUAGUGUUAUGAGCCUGAUGAUAGUUUGACAAGACCUCAUCACUCUGAACACGAAAAACACUUCUGUAAUCUUUAGACAGGUGUUAAGGGUGCCGGAAGGGAGCGGCUGAGAAUUCGGGGUCAGUGUGCUUCUGUGUGUCUGUGUGAGGUGACGUGGGUGUCUGCCCGAGGUUAGAACACGUAAAAAACUUGUCAUACGAAUCAUCAAAAAGACGCCAUUGAAUCCAUAGUGGAAUGUAAGGUAAGGAAGGAAGGAAGGAAGGAAGGAAGGAAGGAAGGAAGGAAGGAAGGAAAAGGAGAAUUAAUAUAUGGAGGAGAAAGGAAGGAAUGGAAGGGAUAGAAUUAGACUGAGGAGGAGAGAGAGAGAGAGAGAGA